This is a non-coding RNA of Biomphalaria pfeifferi, 685 nucleotides long. NCBI's taxonomy places the organism in Eukaryota, Metazoa, Mollusca, Gastropoda, Planorbidae. The record is from the annotation of a GenBank genome assembly.
AAGUGCGUAGCAGAGAAAAGUAUUGUAACCAAAGAUUGUUUGAUAUUCUGUAGAUCUGGAGAAAUGUACAUACAGAUGAUAGCAGUGAAUAGCAGCCCAUAGAAUGUCCAAAGAAAGUCGACGUUUGAACAGUGAAUCAUAUCCGUUUGACUGACUCGCUGCUCCUUGAGCCAUUGCCCAGCAGUCACUGUUAUGUCAAUGUUGGUGGAGGCCUUGCCCCAAGAAUAAGUCCUUUGUAUUUCUACAAUGUAAUGCCAUUACAGUCUGUUACAUUGCAGAGAGUGUUUAAAACGAAAUGAUACCUUUAAAUAUAUAUAUACAAUUUUUGAUAUUAUGAUAUUUUUUAUAGAGUAGGAUAUGUAUUCUCAAUGGUUCCCAAACGUUUGGGUUAGUGGACGAUGGCUAAGCACAAACAAAAAUAGUUGUUUUUCUUUUCAGAGGACUGACUUUUGUGAAAAUAGACUGUCAUUAACAAAUCCAAAGAAUUGUGUCAUAGGUAAUUAAAGGCCCACAAUCCUAUCUGCACUCAAAGUAUGUCUAGCCUGAUAGUGAAUGGUAAAUUAGACUUAUGCUUAUUGUAAUUCUACAUGUAGUUAGGAUGGUAAACUGUUCGUAAUCUCGAGUAAGUAUGUUUCUAGGACUAAACGAAAUAAAAACAUAAAGUUAGGUUUUAGUCCAGUUGUUU